CCUACGGGUGGCAGCAGUGAGGAAUAUUGGUCAAUGGGCGGGAGCCUGAACCAGCCAAGUCGCGUGAGGGAAGACGGUCCUAUGGAUUGUAAACCUCUUUAGGCGGGGAGCAAGGCCGGGCACGUGUGCCCGGAGGGAGAGGACCCGCAGAAGAAGCAGCGGCGAACUCCGUGCCAGCAGCCGCGGUAAUACGGAGGAUGCGAGCGUUAUCCGGAUUGAGUGGGUUGAAAGGGUGCGUAGGCGGAUUGUUAAGUCAGCGGUAAAAUGUCCGGGCUCAACCCGGGCCGGCCGUUGAAACUGGGGCUCUUGAGUGGGCUAGAAGUAUGCGUAAUGCGUGGUGUAGCGGUGACCUGCCUACAUAUCACGCAGAACUCCGAUUGCGAAGGCAGCAUACCGGCGCCCGACUGACGCUGAGGCACGAACGCGUGGGGCUCGAACAGGAUUAGAUACCCGGGUAGUC
This 460-nucleotide ribosomal RNA is filed under the name uncultured bacterium. RNAcentral describes it as "partial 16S ribosomal RNA". It matches the Rfam family "Bacterial small subunit ribosomal RNA", at positions 338 to 795 of the family's 1533-position model. The record is from RNAcentral.